UUGCUUCUUUGCUGACGAGUGGCGAACGGGUGAGUAAUGUCUGGGAAACUGCCUGAUGGAGGGGGAUAACUACUGGAAACGGUAGCUAAUACCGCAUAACGUCGCAAGACCAAAGAGGGGGACCUUCGGGCCUCUUGCCAUCGGAUGUGCCCAGAUGGGAUUAGCUUGUUGGUGGGGUAACGGCUCACCAAGGCGACGAUCCCUAGCUGGUCUGAGAGGAUGACCAGCCACACUGGAACUGAGACACGGUCCAGACUCCUACGGGAGGCAGCAGUGGGGAAUAUUGCACAAUGGGCGCAAGCCUGAUGCAGCCAUGCCGCGUGUAUGAAGAAGGCCUUCGGGUUGUAAAGUACUUUCAGCGGGGAGGAAGGGAGUAAAGUUAAUACCUUUGCUCAUUGACGUUACCCGCAGAAGAAGCACCGGCUAACUCCGUGCCAGCAGCCGCGGUAAUACGGAGGGUGCAAGCGUUAAUCGGAAUUACUGGGCGUAAAGCGCACGCAGGCGGUUUGUUAAGUCAGAUGUGAAAUCCCCGGGCUCAACCUGGGAACUGCAUCUGAUACUGGCAAGCUUGAGUCUCGUAGAGGGGGGUAGAAUUCCAGGUGUAGCGGUGAAAUGCGUAGAGAUCUGGAGGAAUACCGGUGGCGAAGGCGGCCCCCUGGACGAAGACUGACGCUCAGGUGCGAAAGCGUGGGGAGCAAAC
This 700-nucleotide ribosomal RNA is filed under the name uncultured bacterium. Its description in RNAcentral is "bacterial SSU rRNA". It matches the Rfam family "Bacterial small subunit ribosomal RNA", at positions 74 to 773 of the family's 1533-position model. The record is from RNAcentral.